Molecule: long non-coding RNA, 768 nt
Filed under: Homo sapiens (human)
Lineage: Eukaryota; Metazoa; Chordata; Mammalia; Primates; Hominidae
Description: non-protein coding lnc-CXCR3-13:4
Source: RNAcentral
AAAGCGUUCUCGGCGGCAGCGCAACAACUAGAACCGUGAGAACGCGUCCAGCAACCGCGACCACGACGACGUCACCUCGGGCACGCCCAAGGAGAAGAAAGCCCAGACCUCUAAGAAGAAGCAGAGCUCCAUGGCCAAGGCGUAGCGGCAGGCGUCCCCCGCAGACCUCCCCAUCGACCCCAGCGAGCCCUCCUACUGGGAGAUGAUCCGCUGCGACAACGAAUGCCCCAUCGAGUGGUUCCGCUUCUCGUGUGUGAGUCUCAACCAUAAACCAAAGCGCAAGUGGUACUGUUCCAGAUGCCGGGGAAAGAACGAUGGGCAAAGCCCUUGAGAAGUCCAGAAAAAAAACAGGGCUUAUAACAGGUAGUUUGGGGACAUGCGUCUAAUAGUGAGGAGAACAAAAUAAGCCAGUGUGUUGAUUACAUUGCCACCUUUGCUGAGGUGCAGGAAGUGUAAAAUGUAUAUUUUUAAAGAAUGUUGUUAGAGGCCGGGCGCGGUGGCUCACGCCUGUAAUCCCAGCACUUUGGGAGGCCGAGGCGGUCGGAUCACGAGGUCAGGAGAUCGAGACCAUCCUGGCUAACACGGUGAAACCCCGUCUCUACUAAAAAUUCAAAAAAAAAAUUAGCUGGGCGUGGUGGCGGGCGCCUGUAGUCCCAGCUAUUCGGGAGGCUGAGGCAGGAGAAUGGCAUGAACCUGGGAGGUGGAGCUUGCAGUGAGCCAAGGUCGCGCCACUGCACUCCAGCCUGGGCGACAGAGCGAGACUCCAUC